Long non-coding RNA from Telopea speciosissima, 182 nucleotides. RefSeq lists it as uncharacterized. The transcript has 4 exons. NCBI's taxonomy places the organism in Eukaryota, Viridiplantae, Streptophyta, Magnoliopsida, Proteales, Proteaceae. The record is from RefSeq and is a predicted model, not a curated record.
AUUGGGUGCUUUGUGGUGUAGGAAAAUAAAGUAAUAAAGAUGGCAAAGGGAGCAGCAAUCUUCGUUCUGGUCUUGGCAUUUGCCUUUGUGUUUCUAAUGGACUCUGCUUACUCUGAUGCACCAAUGACUAUGGAAAAUGUGCAAGACAAAGCAAAUAAAGCAAUGGGAAGUGCCAAGGCACC